GUUGUGAAGGUGUUUGUUGGGGAUGUUGUAGAGAGGUUUGGGAGGGUUGUGAAGGUGUUUGUUGGGGAUGUUGUAGAGAGGUUUGGGAGGGUUGUGAAGGUGUUUGUUGGGGAUGUUGUAGAGAGGUUUGGGAGGGUUGUGAAGGUGUUUGUUGGGGAUGUUGUAGAGAGGUUUGGGAGGGUUGUGAAGGUGUUUGUUGGGGAUGUUGUAGAGAGGUUUGGGAGGGUUGUGAAGGUGUUUGUUGGGGAUGUUGUAGAGAGGUUUGGGAGGGUUGUGAAGGUGUUUGUUGGGGAUGUUGUAGAGAGGUUUGGGAGGGUUGUGAAGGUG
Molecule: long non-coding RNA, 327 nt
Organism: Oncorhynchus keta (chum salmon)
Lineage: Eukaryota; Metazoa; Chordata; Actinopteri; Salmoniformes; Salmonidae
Exons: 3
Source: RefSeq, a predicted model, not a curated record